This 1305-nucleotide long non-coding RNA is filed under the name Coturnix japonica (Japanese quail). RNAcentral's name for it is "lncRNA (ENSCJPG00005003250.1)". The record is from RNAcentral. Lineage: Eukaryota; Metazoa; Chordata; Aves; Galliformes; Phasianidae.
CUCUGUUUCAUUGUUCCCUUUGUUCUGUUGGCUCCCCACGCUGUUUUCCCUUUGGCCUUUGUUCUUGGUGUUCCCUAUAAUGGCCUGUUUGCUGUUGCUUUUGCUUUGGUUUCCCUUGGCUUUCCUUCUUGCUUUUUUCUUUGUCUUACCCUUGGCUGCUUGCUUUGCUUUUCUCUUGCAGUGUCUUUCUGUGGUUGUUCUGCUUGUCUUUGGGAUUUGUGUUAAUGUUUUGUUUGUGUUAAUCUUGAUCUGCUCCCCCGGCUUAAUGCGGGUUGUAGUGAUAAAGUCUGUAACCUGUAUUUGUUAAUGGAACUGAUAUUUACCUAAUAUUUACCCAAUACUAAAGGUGUCUGUUAUGAUAAAUGCAGUCAUAAAAGUGAUGCUCAGUGCUUUAUGUGAAAGUCACUUUAAUUAUGAUCGUAGUGUGGGAUACAAUUGUUAAACUUACUGCAAAUCUAGACUUAAAAGUAGCAUUAAUUAUAUCCAUAAUAGCAUUAAUUAUAUCCCUAAUAGCAUUAAUUAUAUCCCUAAUAGCAUUAAUUAUAUCCCUAAUAGCAUUAAUUGUAUCCCAGUGCCUUCAUUGUCAUGUUGUGUCCAACAGGUUCCAGCAGAGCACAGAGAUGUGCGGCUCCUGAUGAGAGCAGCGAGGAACAGAAACCUGCAUUGCCUGGACCCAGCUUUGCUGAUGGUAACUCUCAGCCCAGCAGGGCCCUUAUAUUCCCUGGCUGAUGGAUGUUCCCCUUUGAUGCAGCGCUCCAUGCUGCCAUGCAGGCGUUCAAUAAAGCUUUGGGGGGCUGACGAUCCAUCACAACAGCACAUCAGCUACAUAUGCUGUAAUUGUACCUUGUGCCAUGCAAUGUACUGUAUAUUUGGAUGCUGCGUCUGUCAACUGCGCUGUGCCCUGUACUCAACAUGUCGAUGCUGCGCCUGUAACCCGGGAUGGACAAUUUGCUGUGUAUAUGGAUGUUGUACAAUGUAUUGUGCCAUGUGCUCUAUGUGUUGAUGUGAUGGUUGAACAUUGUGCUGUGCCAUGUUCUCAAUGUAUCAAUGCUGCGCCUGUAAACUGUGUUGUGCUCUGUAUUGACUGUGCUGAUGUUUGUACUCAAUACUGGGAUCUUGUGAGUUGUAUCUUGUGCUAUUUGUACUGCAUAUCUGGAUGUUGUGCCAUGUACUGAACUGCUGUAUCCACUUUGUGCUUGUAAAUAUGAUGUUGUUGCUGUAUUGUGUUUGUACUAUUGUAUGAGUUGUAUAUUGUGUUGAUGGAGCUGUAAUAAAGAAACAGUUGUGGUGUGUCGUUAAUUGUCA